AAAGUCGUAACAAGGUUUCCGUAGGUGAACCUGCGGAAGGAUCAUUAUUGAUUUUUAAAGGAUGUGCUGGCUGCCCUCAGAGGUUUGCAUGUGCACUCCACAAAAUCUCCAUUCUCUACACCAUUGUGCACAACCCAGUAGGCAAAACAGGUUCACAGAGCAAUAGACGAAGCGCCGGAGCGGACGAGCGCAUCUGGGCCACAAAUAAUUAGUGAGCCCGAUUGCUGUGCACAUUGUCUGCCUAUGUUUUUUAUACCAAACCCCAAUAAUAUGUCAGAAUGAUGUAUUGCAGUAAGCUUUCACAAGCUGAAAUCUAAUACAACUUUCAACAAUGGAUCUCUUGGUUCUC
This 349-nucleotide unclassified non-coding RNA is filed under the name Basidiomycota sp. Its description in RNAcentral is "partial contains small subunit ribosomal RNA, internal transcribed spacer 1, and 5.8S ribosomal RNA". The stretch from base 1 to 47 matches the Rfam family "Eukaryotic small subunit ribosomal RNA", at positions 1785 to 1831 of the family's 1831-position model. Lineage: Eukaryota; Fungi; Basidiomycota. The record is from RNAcentral.